UUCCGCCCUGGUGUAACGGCAGCACGCAGGCCUUUGGAGCCUUGCAGUACAGGUUCGAAUCCUGUGGGCGGAGCCC
Molecule: transfer RNA, 76 nt
Filed under: Demequina activiva
Lineage: Bacteria; Bacillati; Actinomycetota; Actinomycetes; Micrococcales; Demequinaceae
Description: tRNA-Gln
Rfam family: tRNA
About the family: Transfer RNA (tRNA) molecules are approximately 80 nucleotides in length. Their secondary structure includes four short double-helical elements and three loops (D, anti-codon, and T loops).
Source: RNAcentral